Molecule: ribosomal RNA, 253 nt
Filed under: uncultured prokaryote
Description: partial 16S ribosomal RNA
Rfam family: Bacterial small subunit ribosomal RNA
Source: RNAcentral
UACAGAGGGUGCGAGCGUUGUUCGGAAUUAUUGGGCGUAAAGCGCGCGCAGGUGGUGCGGUAAGUCCUGUGUGAAAUCUCCCGGCUCAACUGGGAGGGUGCGGAGGAGACUGCCGGACUGGAGGCACUCAGAGGCCGGUGGAAUUCCCGGUGUAGUGGUGAAAUGCGUAGAGAUCGGGAGGAACACCAGUGGCGAAGGCGGCCGGCUGGGGGUGACCUGACGCUGAGGCGCGAGAGCGUGGGGAGCGAACAGG